UGGAUAUUACUUUAAUCGUUUGAUUGUCAUAUUGUGUGAGUGAGUGAGUGUGUAUAUAUGCCUCAGUUGGCAAUAGUACAGCUGUGUCAAGGCAGCCUGUGAAUCAAGUCGUGUCAGGCAGAUUAGGGGUGGACAGCUGAAGCUAAUGUACACACGGCCAGGUCCCAGGUCACACGCUCAGUCAGGUCCCAGGUCACACGCUCAGUCAGGUCCCAGGUCACACACUCAGUCAGGUCCCAGGUCACACACUCAUCCAGGUCCAAGGUCACACUCAGUCAGGUCACGCUCAGUCAGGUCCCAGGUCACACGCUCAGUCAGGUCCCAGGUCACACGCUCAUCCAGGUCCCAGGUCACACGCUCAGUCAGGUCCCAGGUCACACGCUCAUCCAGGUCCCAGGUCACACACUCAGUCAGGUCCCAGGUCACAUGCUCAGUCAGGUCCCAGGUCACAUGCUCAGCCAGGUCACACGCUCAGUCAGGUUCCAGGUCACACACUCAGUCAGGUCCCAGGUCACACGCUCAGCCAGGUCCCAGGUCACACGCUCAGUCAGGUCCCAGGUCACACGCUCAGUCAGGUCCCAGGUC
Molecule: long non-coding RNA, 585 nt
Organism: Haliotis rufescens (red abalone)
Lineage: Eukaryota; Metazoa; Mollusca; Gastropoda; Lepetellida; Haliotidae
Exons: 3
Source: RefSeq, a predicted model, not a curated record